Long non-coding RNA from Mauremys mutica (yellowpond turtle), 488 nucleotides. RefSeq lists it as uncharacterized. NCBI's taxonomy places the organism in Eukaryota, Metazoa, Chordata, Testudines, Geoemydidae. The record is from RefSeq and is a predicted model, not a curated record. The transcript has 4 exons.
AGCUGAUGAAAAACAUUUGUGUCCCUCCAGGUGUAUAAACUGAUUUCAGUGGAGUUUCACCAGUUUAGACUGCUUGACAAUCUGGCCCACAAUUAUUACACCAUAAACUAGCCUGUGAACAGGGGUAUCAGAAGGAAGCCAUGAGCCUUACAUUUCUCCAUUAAACCAGUGCAGUAGAAAUGGAUUCUCAGCCUAAUAAGGUUUGACAAGACCUGGCACUGGAAGCAGGUACCAAGGAAUCCAACUAGUCGAAAGCAUUAGAGACACCAUGGGUACCAGAGGAUAGAGGUGUUGCCAUGGGAACAGAGUGAAAGGUGCUCCAUGGUGGCUGGUUAGGAGAUGAAGGUCCUGACAGCACCUCAAGCUAUUACCCUGUUCAGGCAGAGUGUGAAAUGGAAGAUUCAAGAUUCAUACUCUCUGCGUACAGCUGCUGAUCUGUAUCCAAAAGUCUUGUAAAUGAUCUGAGCUGAAGUCCAUAAUUUAAAGAA